UUAAAACAUAUGUCCCCCAUAUAUAUCUAUAUUUCUCGUACACUGCAAAUUUACUUUCUAACAUAACUCAGGUGAUAAAUUGAUUUGACAGCUAACGCUUACCAACACAUGUAUGACAUUCAAUACAACUGUAAUUGCCCCAACUAAAUCCACAAUAGUGGUUAUUAAAGUGAAGAACUUACUGACUCUUCCCGACGAUUGACUCUCGAAGAUAACUAAGAACAUGGCUGACUAAUGUUGGUCUGACCUUGGUCCAUUGAUACGAUCAAGCACUCGUGGAAGAGACAUUGUCUACUUAUAAGUGUGCAUUUUACAUGUUUUGAGCAUCCAUUUGUUAUCAUUAUUGCAUCAUAUCACCACUGUUUUAUACCAUUUCUCAUCAUUUGUCAUCACUUUGCAUGUUUAGGAUAGUUUUGCAUGCAUAUUGUAUAUUUGUGUUGAUUUCAGGUGAUUUGGAGCUGUUAACGAGCUAAUUGGAAGAAGCGGACCUGAUCAUGUCAAACCACUCGACCCCCAGGUCGAGCAGAUGCUCCACGACAUCAAAGGACCACUUGACCCCCUGGUCGAGUAGAAGACUUCACCACUCGACUACCUGGCCGAGUACCACCAUGAGAGUCACUCGAUCACUUCACUCGAUCACACCACUCUACCAUGAAGUCGAGUAUCACCAUCACCAUCACUCGAUUACAUACUCGAUUGCCAGCUAAUCACUCGACCUCUCACUCGACCACCUGGGUCGAGUACUGUUCUUAAUCCGUCCCAAUACUGCGUCGUUUUGAGUAUUAGGGUUUCAGAAUAUCUCGCUAUAAGUAGCAUGUACUUUACAUUUUCGUAGGGCUAAGUUUUAUUUUCCGCAGACACUGUGUUCUUGACAUUUUGUAAUCUGGAUUUCUCUUAAUCAAUUCAGUAUUCAGCAUUUUGUUCUUGAUUUCGUUUACUGUUGUUCAUCAUGUUAUCACCUUGCUAUUACUCUGUUGUUAUCAUGUUUUCAUUCUAUUCAACGUGUAUGUUCUCUGCAAUGAUGUCUGAGUAGUGAAUAAGUUUCUGAGGAUGGGUUAGAGUAGUUUAGAAUUCUCAGUAUGCUAGGUGGUUGAGUUUGAUUGAUAUAUCCCUUCUGGAUUAGUUGUUCUUAAUGCAUAUUGCUUUCUGAUCAACUGGAAUUGGAGCCCAGACAUUUCUGCGCCCAAAAGGUGUUCGAUGAAAUGUUUGAACCACUAAUUCUAGAGAUUCGUGGCUCUGUACCAAGGUAUUGGUUGCAGGGAGCGUUUUGGCUUUAACUUGUUGAUUCGUAAGCCUGUUAGGUUAGCUCUCGUCAAUGGUGAUUAAGUCUGGGACUAAGUUAACUUGAGAGUCUCUGUUGCGGUGACACUUAGAUUUGGUUUUUGUUGUCUAGGGAUAAUUUAUUGAGCAUGUCAAUCACCUGUAAACUGAGGAAACAAACCUACUCAAUUACCCCAUCCUCGUGAAUUCUUUAUGUGAUUGAUUUCUUUGUUACGCUACUGUUGUUUACUGCAUCUUGUCAUCUGUUGCUUAGUUUCUACAAUUCUUUCCUGUUACUCGACCUGAUACUCGACCACCCAGUUGUCUAGCAACAGACUGUGCAGUCGAGUAUCUUUGUUUCGGUUACUGCAUGUUACUCGACCAGUCACUCGACCACCCCAGUGCUCUGCAACGAGUUGUGUUGGUCGAGUGUUUUACUGUAUCCGCUUGAUUUUCUGUUUUCUGCAUGUUCACUUAGGACUGCUAGAACACACCAAAACCUGUUAUUGCUUGGCUUGACUUAGUGACUUCUGAUCACAUCUUGAUUGUUAGCAUCACAUCCAUUUGGAUUGACAACCUAAAAUACUACAAUGACAUGAUUGAUGUUUUAGGAUAAUUGAGUAAAAACCUAUUAUCAAUUUGGCGCUGUUGCCGAUUAGGUGUUUGUUUGUUACAUUUAAGAUUUCAAACUUGCUUAGAUCAAGUUCUUUUUCAAUUUUCAGUUCAGUUACUGACUGUGUAUUUUUGUUGUUGUCUUUUUGAUCCAGGUACACCUCUGCUGUAUGCAAACUCGAUCACCAGAGAACCAGAACCUCUUUUUCAACAAUAACAUCGACCACAUGGCUUGCGAAUUCAGAGAAAGAAGAAACACAGUCCACCUUUUACCCCAACAACCACUCGAAAUGGCUGACGAACAGAAUCAACAGAAUGGUCCUGCCAACAUUGGUGAUGUAGAUGCACCAUCGUCAGAGGAAAGGAAUUGCACCUCCUGCUAUCCAGAACAAUAACUUCGAGAUUAAGAGUGGUCUCAUCUCGAUGAUUCAGGGAAACAAAUUCCAUGGUCUACCAAUGGAGGAUCCACUCGACCACCUUGAUGAAUUCGAUAGGCUCUGCAACCUAACAAAAAUCAAUGGUGUAAGUGAAGACGGAUUCAAGCUCUGUUUAUUUCCAUUCUCGUUGGGCGACAAAGCACACAUCUGAGAGAAGAAUCUGCCCCAUGACUCCAUCACCACCUGGGAUGAUUGCAAGAAGGCUUUUCUAGCAAAGUUUUUCUCCAAUGUCAGAACUGCAAGACUCAGAAAUGAGAUCUCUGGCUUUUCACAGAAGACUGGUGAAAGCUUCUGUGAAGCAUGAGAGCGUUUCAAGGGUUACACCAACCAAUGCCCUCAUCAUGGCUUCAAGAAAGCCUCUCUGCUCAGUACUUUAUAUACAUG
Molecule: small RNA, 2693 nt
Filed under: Arabidopsis thaliana (thale cress)
Lineage: Eukaryota; Viridiplantae; Streptophyta; Magnoliopsida; Brassicales; Brassicaceae
Description: ATSL207770
Source: RNAcentral